GAUUUAUUUGCCAAAGGAACGUGGCAAGGACUUGGGCUACGUGUUAACUAGCAGUGAAAAUGAUUCAUCUUAUACUUGCAGUAGUAGCAAUAGGUACAUGCCUAGCUCUAUGUCCAGAUACUUUUGAACGCCAUAGUGAUGUCUGCUAUAAAGUUGUGGCCAUAAAAGCAAACUGGAUAGACAGCAGAGAAUAUUGCAAGUUAUUUGGUGGCGAGUUACUAAGGAUAGAGACGGCCGACGAGCAGAUAAUCAUCGAUGGCAUAUUAACUUGUGUA
Molecule: long non-coding RNA, 275 nt
Organism: Mercenaria mercenaria
Lineage: Eukaryota; Metazoa; Mollusca; Bivalvia; Venerida; Veneridae
Exons: 3
Source: RefSeq, a predicted model, not a curated record